Molecule: small nuclear RNA, 107 nt
Filed under: Dasypus novemcinctus (nine-banded armadillo)
Lineage: Eukaryota; Metazoa; Chordata; Mammalia; Cingulata; Dasypodidae
Source: RNAcentral
GUGCUCACUUCGGCAGCACAUAUACUAAAAUUGGAACGAUACAGAGAGGAUAAGCAUGGCCCCUGCGCAAGGCUGACAUGCAAAUUCAUGAAGCGUUCCAUAAUUUA